This 81-nucleotide transfer RNA is filed under the name Bacteroidales bacterium. Its description in RNAcentral is "tRNA-OTHER". It matches the Rfam family "tRNA". Rfam says of the family: Transfer RNA (tRNA) molecules are approximately 80 nucleotides in length. Their secondary structure includes four short double-helical elements and three loops (D, anti-codon, and T loops). Further hydrogen bonds mediate the characteristic L-shaped molecular structure. tRNAs have two regions of fundamental functional importance: the anti-codon, which is responsible for specific mRNA codon recognition, and the 3' end, to which the tRNAs corresponding amino acid is attached (by aminoacyl-tRNA synthetases). tRNAs cope with the degeneracy of the genetic code in two manners: having more than one tRNA (with a specific anti-codon) for a particular amino acid; and 'wobble' base-pairing, i.e. permitting non-standard base-pairing at the 3rd anti-codon position. Lineage: Bacteria; Pseudomonadati; Bacteroidota; Bacteroidia; Bacteroidales. The record is from RNAcentral.
GCCCCGAUGGCGGAAUUGGUAGACGCGUACGUUCAGGUGCGUAUUUCGAGAGGAGUGCAGGUUCGACUCCUGUUCGGGGCA